AGACGUUUGGACCUGGCGUCAGGACGAACGCUGGCGGCGUGCCUAAUACAUGCAAGUCAACGGAGAUAUUCGCUGAUGAAGUACUUCGGUAAUGAAUCUUGGAUAUCUUAGUGGCGGACGGGUGAGUAACGCGUGAGCAACCUGCCUUUCAGAGGGGGAUAACGUUUGGAAACGAACGCUAAUACCGCAUGACAUUAUCUUAUCGCAUGGUAGGAUAAUCAAAGGAGCAAUCCGCUGAAAGAUGGGCUCGCGUCCGAUUAGGUAGUUGGUGGGGUAACGGGCCCACCCAAGCCGACGAUCGGUAGCCGGACUGAGAGGUUGGACGGCCACAUUGGGACUGAGACACGGCCCAGACUCCUACGGGAGGCAGCAGUAAGGGAUAUUGGUCAAUGGGGGAAACCCUGAACCAGCAACGCCGCGUGAGGGAAGACGGUUUUCGGAUUGUAAACCUCUGUCCUCUGUGAAGAUGAUGACGGUAGCAGAGGAGGAAGCUCCGGCUAACUACGUA
This 508-nucleotide ribosomal RNA is filed under the name uncultured Oscillospiraceae bacterium. Its description in RNAcentral is "bacterial SSU rRNA". It matches the Rfam family "Bacterial small subunit ribosomal RNA", at positions 8 to 507 of the family's 1533-position model. The record is from RNAcentral. Lineage: Bacteria; Bacillati; Bacillota; Clostridia; Eubacteriales; Oscillospiraceae.